UUACGGCCAUAUCACGUCGAAAUCCCUGUUCUCGUAGGAUCAGCGAAGUUAAGCAAAGUUGAGCCUGGUCUGUAUCUAGAUAGGUGACCGCUUGGGAAUACCAAGCGCUGUAA
This 113-nucleotide ribosomal RNA is filed under the name Acanthosepion pharaonis. The record is from RNAcentral. Lineage: Eukaryota; Metazoa; Mollusca; Cephalopoda; Sepiida; Sepiidae.